GAUGAACGCUGGCGGCGUGCUUAACACAUGCAAGUCGAACGAAUCUUGAGGAGCUUGCUCCUCUUGGUUAGUGGCGGACGGGUGAGUAACGCGUGGGUAACCUGCCCUAUGCAGGGGGGAUAACGUUUGGAAACGAACGCUAAUACCGCAUAAUAAAGAAUCUUCGCAUGUUGAUUCUUUCAAAGAUUUAUCGGCAUAGGAUGGACCCGCGUUGGAUUAGCUAGUUGGUGAGAUAACAGCCCACCAAGGCGACGAUCCAUAGCCGGCCUGAGAGGGUGAACGGCCACAUUGGGACUGAGACACGGCCCAAACUCCUACGGGAGGCAG
Molecule: ribosomal RNA, 327 nt
Filed under: uncultured Bacillota bacterium
Lineage: Bacteria; Bacillati; Bacillota
Description: bacterial SSU rRNA
Rfam family: Bacterial small subunit ribosomal RNA
Source: RNAcentral